RNAcentral lists this microRNA (23 nucleotides) under Haemonchus contortus (barber pole worm). Its description in RNAcentral is "hco-miR-79". Its record names the gene hco-miR-79. RNAcentral also lists the same sequence under 6 other names. The record is from miRBase by way of RNAcentral. Lineage: Eukaryota; Metazoa; Nematoda; Chromadorea; Rhabditida; Trichostrongylidae.
AUAAAGCUAGGUUACCAAAGCUA